Gorilla gorilla gorilla (western lowland gorilla) is the source of this 56-nucleotide microRNA precursor. NCBI's taxonomy places the organism in Eukaryota, Metazoa, Chordata, Mammalia, Primates, Hominidae. The record is from Ensembl.
UGUUUUAAGGACACUGAGGGAUCCUUUGUUCUGGAUCCCUCAGUGUCCUUAAAACA